Aquila chrysaetos chrysaetos is the source of this 1869-nucleotide long non-coding RNA. RefSeq lists it as uncharacterized. The record is from RefSeq and is a predicted model, not a curated record. The transcript is spliced from 2 exons. NCBI's taxonomy places the organism in Eukaryota, Metazoa, Chordata, Aves, Accipitriformes, Accipitridae.
CCAUGGGAAUAUGAGACACAAGACUGUUAAGGAAAGGAAAUUAUUUUUACUCGGCAAACUCAUAAUGCUCGUCAAGACCAGAAAGCACGUACUCUGAUUUUCUGUUGCAGACUCAAAGGGGUUUUAUGUACUCAAAAUUUGUCCUUUUUAUUUUUUUUUAAUUGCAGUCCUAAUCUAAUAUUUAAGUCUAUAGAACAACCCAUUAGAAAAAGACCCUUUGCCCCGUAAUAUUUGCCCUCAUUAGUAUUGCUGCAAAGGUAGUAAUCAGUAAUUUUUCACUUGCUCUGCUAAAUCAUUGGCAAAUGUAUUGUUUACUGGUUAAAUGCUUAGUUGCUUUAGCAAAGAAAAUAGGAUCUUAAAUAGGUUAUUUUUGUGGGUUUUUUUUCCAAUGAAGUGGGACCAGUAAGAGAUAAUAGUAUCAGGGAAGUGCAAUAUUUGCAAAAAUUCUGUACUAAAAGCUUGCUGUUAAUUUACCAGCGUUAACUUGCUUUUGUAAUCAUGCCUUAGUCUGUUUUUAAAAGCUGUAUAAAGUGGAUUGAAAAAUAUACUUUCCAGCUGAUGUAGGCUCUGUAUAACUUAGGUGGGUGUGAGGUCACAGCUAUGUUGAUAAACUUAAGCAUAGACUAGACAGUAGUCUUGCAGCACAUUUUUAAAACAGGGUUAGUAACAAUUUUCAGGGCUAUAAAUUGUUUUACACAUCACUUGGUGGUCUUUAAGUGAAAAACACUGUGCUCUUAGUAUGACAUAUUUCCGAUUCUGUCAGAGAAUUCUGAUGUCUUCUGUUCACUUCUCUGUUUCCCUCUGGCAUAAGCAGCAGUAGCCUGUGAUCAGCUAGUAAGGCCAAAAGAAAGCCCUGAGGGUUAGUGUUCUCAGCUGUGCUGCCUCAUCCCAGCUUCUCUGCUAAAGUGACAGCAGGUGAUCCCUCGGAACUUAAGCAGGCAGGGCAGCUGCAUCUGGUCAGUAGAGGUGCAUCAAAAAAGGGGCAGUCUCAGAGGGGGACAAUACUUCUAUUGCUUUAGUUUUGGGGUGCUGGCUUAAGAUUUUGUUUCUCUAAGAAGCUGUCUUUUAUUAAUAGGUGUACCAAACUGGGGAAAUUAUGGAGGGAUUUGAUGCUUAAAUCAUUGGAGGUGUUCCUGGUAGAGAGAAGUGACUUGUAGAUGAACAGAAUAACAACAAAGUAAGUCUGAGUUGAUGAGCUAAAAAAUUCUUUGUGAAAAAAUGUUAUAGGUAUGGUAGUUGUUGCAGGAAAUAGGCAUCUGCCACAUAGUCCAUGUUAGGAAUUAUGUGGAUUAUGCGGAUGCCCCCUCAGCAGGGCUCAGCCUUGGGUUCCUGCUUGAAGAAGACGAGUUGCCAGUCUGCUGAAUAAAUAAGUGGUUUAUUUAGCUGACAUGCAAAGCAGCUUGAGCUGGGUGCCUCUGAAGAGGGAUCCCUACUGCAGGUUGUGUACCCCUAUUACACCCUUACAGACCGUUUUCCCAGAAUGUACCAUUCAUCGCCUAAUCUGCAAAUCCAAUCACUUAAUUCUGGUGGGUGGUCUCUUGAUUUCUUAUUGGUUUUCUUGGUCACUGGGCUGGCCUUGUUCUAAAAUUACCUCAUUCCCUUGGAAUUGUUCGUUGGUCCAUUUCUUCUUCAUUUUGCUUGUAUCUGCUGGUUUCAGCUAGUUUUGUAUUUGCAACAUUAGCUUUAUCAAAAAGUUUACUAUUGGUCAGCUCUUGCAGCCUAAGGCUUCCACUACUUGAGUUUCUAAUGCUAAGCAAGGCUAUUAAUCCUAACAAUUCUCAACAGCAGUGGUAACUUACCUGCUUCUGCUGUCUGUGUGAUGAGGCUUCUCAACUCUCAAAGCCACAGAAAUCUUCCAGCAAAAGGGGG